UGGGGAAUUUUGGACAAUGGGCGCAAGCCUGAUCCAGCCAUGCCGCGUGCGGGAAGAAGGCCUUCGGGUUGUAAACCGCUUUUGUCAGGGAAGAAAUCUUCUGAGUUAAUACCUCGGGAGGAUGACGGUACCUGAAGAAUAAGCACCGGCUAACUACGUGCCAGCAGCCGCGGUAAUACGUAGGGUGCAAGCGUUAAUCGGAAUUACUGGGCGUAAAGCGUGCGCAGGCGGUUUUGUAAGACAGAGGUGAAAUCCCCGGGCUCAACCUGGGAACUGCCUUUGUGACUGCAAGGCUUGAGUGCGGCAGAGGGGGGAUGGAAUUCCGCGUGUAGCAGUGAAAUGCGUAGAUAUGCGGAGGAACACCGAUGGCGAAGGCAAUCCCCUGGGCCUGCACUGACGCUCAUGCACGAAAGCGUGGGGAGCAAACAGGAUUAGAUACCCUGGUAGUCCACGCCCUAAACGAUGUCAACUGGUUGUUGGGAAGGUUCCUUCUCAGUAACGUAGCUAACGCGU
RNAcentral lists this ribosomal RNA (513 nucleotides) under uncultured bacterium. Its description in RNAcentral is "partial 16S ribosomal RNA". It matches the Rfam family "Bacterial small subunit ribosomal RNA", at positions 355 to 860 of the family's 1533-position model. The record is from RNAcentral.